Molecule: unclassified non-coding RNA, 159 nt
Filed under: uncultured Helotiales
Lineage: Eukaryota; Fungi; Ascomycota; Leotiomycetes; Helotiales
Description: sequence contains ITS1
Source: RNAcentral
CAGAGAUCAUGCCCUCACGGGUAGACCUCCCACCCUGUGUUAUUUACGAUUGUUGCUUUGGCAGGCCGCCUUCGGGCACUCGGCUCAGGCUGAGGCGCGCCUGCCAGAGGACCCCCAACUCUGUGUUUAGUGUUGUCUGAGUUUAUUUUUAAUACGUUA